UCUUCAAAUCAAAGAGAAUUUGUUCAAGAACAAAUUAAGAACACACUAGAACACGAUUUUCUUUUGGGUAGUUAUGACUACCUCUUUUUGUUGUUUGCAUUGAUUUAAAUAGAUAAAAGUUACAAGAAGCAAUUGUGGGAUCAUGAUCCCUAUACAACGAUGAAAUGGGAAACGUGGGAUGAUUAAGUUCCUAAACAUUAGGAAGAAUCAGUCUCCAUUAUUAACAACUAAACUCAUUAAAAUAAAUAAUUAAAAGAACAAUGAAACACUGCAAACCAGGUCCGGUUAGUUGACCAACGUUAACGCGAUUACUAUCUCAUCAAUACUCCGGACGUCAAAGAACCUUGUCCUCAAGGUUCGUGAUGAACUGAGGAAAGCUCGACUUGAGUUGCUUCUCUUUCUUCCAUGUUGAUUCUUCUUGCCAGUAGAUGUCUUUCAACGCAUUACAACUUCAAAGACCCAGACCAAGCUUGUUUCCUUAUUAGAAUAAAACUGUUUUUUUUUGCUUUUCUUUUAAAUGACAAGUAAGAUGAAAUUUUUUUUUUUUGAAAACUGAAAAACAAUGGAAGAAUUACAGAUUUUAAUCCAUACAAAAGAAAGGAUGUUGAACUUGAUCAACAAACCCGAAAAGAAGAAAAUGGUGAAAAGAAAAAAAGCUGGAUAGAUCUCGAUGAUCGUUGAUUCUCAAGAAUGGUCGUUCGUCGAGGAUUCUUG
RNAcentral lists this long non-coding RNA (714 nucleotides) under Brassica napus (rape). RNAcentral describes it as "long non-coding RNA (BNAP_LNC012402)". The record is from RNAcentral. Lineage: Eukaryota; Viridiplantae; Streptophyta; Magnoliopsida; Brassicales; Brassicaceae.